GACGAACGCUGGCGGCGUGCUUAACACAUGCAAGUCGAACGGAAAGGCCCUGCUUUUGUGGGGUGCUCGAGUGGCGAACGGGUGAGUAACACGUGAGUAACCUGCCCUUGACUUUGGGAUAACUUCAGGAAACUGGGGCUAAUACCGGAUAGGAGCUCCUGCUGCAUGGUGGGGGUUGGAAAGUUUCGGCGGUUGGGGAUGGACUCGCGGCUUAUCAGCUUGUUGGUGGGGUAGUGGCUUACCAAGGCUUUGACGGGUAGCCGGCCUGAGAGGGUGACCGGCCACAUUGGGACUGAGAUACGGCCCAGACUCCUACGGGAGGCAGCAGUGGGGAAUAUUGCACAAUGGGCGGAAGCCUGAUGCAGCAACGCCGCGUGCGGGAUGACGGCCUUCGGGUUGUAAACCGCUUUCGCCUGUGACGAAGCGUGAGUGACGGUAAUGGGUAAAGAAGCACCGGCUAACUACGUGCCAGCAGCCGCGGUGAUACGUAGGGUGCGAGCGUUGUCCGGAUUUAUUGGGCGUAAAGGGCUCGUAGGUGGUUGAUCGCGUCGGAAGUGUAAUCUUGGGGCUUAACCCUGAGCGUGCUUUCGAUACGGGUUGACUUGAGGAAGGUAGGGGAGAAUGGAAUUCCUGGUGGAGCGGUGGAAUGCGCAGAUAUCAGGAGGAACACCAGUGGCGAAGGCGGUUCUCUGGGCCUUUCCUGACGCUGAGGAGCGAAAGCGUGGGGAGCGAACAGGCUUAGAUACCCUGGUAGUCCACGCUGUAAACGGUGGGUACUAGGUGUGGGGUCCAUUCCACGGGUUCCGUGCCGUAGCUAACGCUUUAAGUACCCCGCCUGGGGAGUACGGCCGCAAGGCUAAAACUCAAAGGAAUUGACGGGGCCCCGCACAAGCGGCGGAGCAUGCGGAUUAAUUCGAUGCAACGCGUAGAACCUUACCUGGGUUUGACAUGGAUCGGGAGUGCUCAGAGAUGGGUGUGCCUCUUUUGGGGUCGGUUCACAGGUGGUGCAUGGCUGUCGUCAGCUCGUGUCGUGAGAUGUUGGGUUAAGUCCCGCAACGAGCGCAACCCUUGUUCACUGUUGCCAGCACGUUAUGGUGGGGACUCAGUGGAGACCGCCGGGGUCAACUCGGAGGAAGGUGGGGAUGACGUCAAGUCAUCAUGCCCCUUAUGUCCAGGGCUUCACGCAUGCUACAAUGGCUGGUACAGAGAGUGGCGAGCCUGUGAGGGUGAGCGGAUCUCGGAAAGCCGGUCUCAGUUCGGAUUGGGGUCUGCAACUCGACCUCAUGAAGUCGGAGUCGCUAGUAAUCGCAGAUCAGCAACGCUGCGGUGAAUACGUUCCCGGG
This 1343-nucleotide ribosomal RNA is filed under the name uncultured bacterium. RNAcentral's name for it is "16S ribosomal RNA". It matches the Rfam family "Bacterial small subunit ribosomal RNA", at positions 28 to 1378 of the family's 1533-position model. The record is from RNAcentral.